GCGGACAGUGAACUGCGGAAGGACAUUAAUGAAAUUCUGACUGAGGUUGUCGCUGGCCCUUCACGGGGCAUGUGCACGCCUCUUUCACAAUCCACACACACCUGUGCACCUUUGCGUGAGCUUUUUGGGAGCGAGGCGGAAACGUCUCUAGUACCGGGAGGCUCGCGUCCUUUUCACAAACUCUUGUAUGUCUUCAGAAUGUCUUACUUUGAUGUUAUAAAACGCAUCUAAAUACAACUUUCAACAACGGAUCUCUUGGCUCUCGCAUCGAUGAAGAACGCAGCGAAAUGCGAUAAGUAAUGUGAAUUGCAGAAUUCAGUGAAUCAUCGAAUCUUUGAACGCACCUUGCGCCCUUUGGUAUUCCGAAGGGCACACCUGUUUGAGUGUCGUGAAAUUCUCAACCCUUCUCACUUUUGUGCUGAAGGGAUUGGACUUGGAGGCUUUGCCGGCUUUUGUUUCGGCUCCUCUCAAAUGCAUUAGUACGUCUCGUUGCGAUGUGCGCCUCGGUGUGAUAAUUAUCUACGCUGUGC
This 530-nucleotide ribosomal RNA is filed under the name Gloeocystidiopsis tenuissimus. RNAcentral describes it as "eukaryotic LSU rRNA". The stretch from base 236 to 389 matches the Rfam family "5.8S ribosomal RNA". Lineage: Eukaryota; Fungi; Basidiomycota; Agaricomycetes; Russulales; Stereaceae. The record is from RNAcentral.